RNAcentral lists this ribosomal RNA (429 nucleotides) under Acidobacteriota bacterium. RNAcentral describes it as "Acidobacteria bacterium partial 16S ribosomal RNA". It matches the Rfam family "Bacterial small subunit ribosomal RNA", at positions 355 to 776 of the family's 1533-position model. Lineage: Bacteria; Pseudomonadati; Acidobacteriota. The record is from RNAcentral.
UGGGGAAUUUUGGACAAUGGGGGAAACCCUGAUCCAGCCAUCCCGCGUGUGCGAUGAAGGCCUUCGGGUUGUAAAGCACUUUUGGCAGGAAAGAAACGUCAUGGGUUAAUACCCCGUGAAACUGACGGUACCUGCAGAAUAAGCACCGGCUAACUACGUGCCAGCAGCCGCGGUAAUACGUAGGGUGCAAGCGUUAAUCGGAAUUACUGGGCGUAAAGCGUGCGCAGGCGGUUCGGAAAGAAAGAUGUGAAAUCCCAGAGCUCAACUUUGGAACUGCAUUUUUAACUACCGGGCUAGAGUGUGUCCGAGGGAGGUGGAAUUCCGCGUGUAGCAGUGAAAUGCGUAGAUAUGCGGAGGAACACCGAUGGCGAAGGCAGCCUCCUGGGAUAACACUGACGCUCAUGCACGAAAGCGUGGGGAGCAAACAGG